GUGGGGCUUAGUGGUAGAGUGCUUGCCUAGCACAUGCGAUGCCCUGGGUUCAAUCCUCAGCACCACA
This 67-nucleotide transfer RNA is filed under the name Marmota monax (woodchuck). RNAcentral's name for it is "tRNA.Ala". Lineage: Eukaryota; Metazoa; Chordata; Mammalia; Rodentia; Sciuridae. The record is from RNAcentral.